Molecule: ribosomal RNA, 385 nt
Filed under: uncultured bacterium
Lineage: Bacteria
Description: bacterial SSU rRNA
Rfam family: Bacterial small subunit ribosomal RNA
Source: RNAcentral
GACGAACGCUGGCGGCGUGCUUAACACAUGCAAGUCGAGCGGUAAGGCCCUUUCGGGGGUACGACGAGCGGCGAACGGGUGAGUAACACGUGGGUGACCUGCCCUCAGCUCUGGGAUAAGCCUGGGAAACCGGGUCUAAUACCGGAUAUGACUCCAUGACGCAUGUUGUGGGGUGGAAAGCCUUGUGCGGCUGAGGAUGGGCCCGCGGCCUAUCAGCUUGUUGGUGGGGUGAUGGCCUACCAAGGCGACGACGGGUAGCCGGCCUGAGAGGGCGACCGGCCACACUGGGACUGAGACACGGCCCAGACUCCUACGGGAGGGCAGCAGUGGGGAAUCUUGCGCAAUGGGCGAAAGCCUGACGCAGCGACGCCGCGUGAGGGAUGAC